This 123-nucleotide ribosomal RNA is filed under the name Pteropus alecto (black flying fox). Lineage: Eukaryota; Metazoa; Chordata; Mammalia; Chiroptera; Pteropodidae. The record is from RNAcentral.
GUCUACAGCCAUGCCACCCUGAAUGUGCCCAAUCUCAUCUGAUCUCAGAAACUAAGAAGGGUCGGGCCUGGUUCGUAUUUGGAUGGGAGACAGACCAUCAAGGAAGACCAGGUGCUGUAGGUG